AUUGAACGCUGGCGGCAUGCCUAACACAUGCAAGUCGAGCGGAAGAACGGAGCUUUCUCCCGGAUUCCGCGGCGGACGGGUGAGUAAUGCCCAGGAAUAUGCCUGGUAGUGGGGGAUAACGUCCGGAAAAGGGCGCUAAUAUCGCAUACGCCCUGAGGGUGAAAGUGCGGGAUCUUCGGACCUCACGCUCUCAGAUGAGCCUAGGUCGGAUUAGCUAGUUGGUGGGGUAAAGACCUACCAAGGCGACGAUCCGUAUCUGGUCUGAGAGGAUGAUCCGCCACACUGGAACUGAGACACGGCCCAGACUCCUACGGGAGGCAGCAGUGGGGAAUUUUGGACAAUGGGCGAAAGCCUGAUCCAGCAAUGCCGCGUGUGUGAAGAAGGUCUUCGGAUUGUAAAGCACUUUAAGUUGGGAGGAAAUACAGUGAGUUAAUACCGUGCUGUUUUGACGGUACCGACAGAAUAAGCACCGGCUAACUACGUG
Molecule: ribosomal RNA, 484 nt
Filed under: uncultured bacterium
Lineage: Bacteria
Description: partial 16S ribosomal RNA
Rfam family: Bacterial small subunit ribosomal RNA
Source: RNAcentral